AAUUUUAUUCAAAAUUAAGCACUCUUAGCUUUUUAAGUAUGUGUGAGCAAGGAAAUCGUACCUUGCUAGGGUUAGGAUUUCGUGUUGGCUGAGGAGGAGAGAAAUCCACGAAAAGUACGGAAUUGAUUGAUUGAUUGAAGAGGGGAGAAGAACAGGUGAGCGAUUACUCCAGCGACACGUGGCAGAACUCUUAGAAUCUGAGAACCUUGUUAGGGUAGCAAGGAUUCAGAGAGCCUUCUUGAGUCUUCGGAUUAAGAGAGAAUCUCCAAAUCUCCUAGUCUUCUAAAAGGUCCAAGAGUCUAAAAUCAGGUCCCCUUCCCAAUGGAGUGGAAGGGGUAUUUAUAGGGUUUUCUAGAGAGAACAUGACCUCGGAGAAAUUUUAAUUUUACCCUUAGUCAUCAGAGUAAUGCCCAAAUCGUCCUGCCCUUCUAGCCAUCAAUCCAAUCCAUCAAUCAAUUCCCAAAAUGAGUCGCCUCCACGUGUCUUCUGCCUCGGGACACGUGGAACAUUCUCUCAGGUGUUGCUUCUUUAUUUCCAACUCUUCCGUCUUUUCAUUUAAUGCGAACUUUAAUUUGUACAUUUAAUUCAAUUAGGUCAAGUAAACCCUAAUUUGCACUUGGACCCACAGUAUGAAUUCUCUAAUGACUAAUUUAUUUAUGCGCAUUCUAAAAUAUUGAAUAAGUUAUCUUUGUGAAAACGAGUGAUUUUCUAUUUUGAAAUGAAAGGAGCUAAAAAACAAUGAAUCCUCUAAUGAUAAAUCAAAUUUGAGAUUUUUUUUAGAGUGGAUGCAAUAACUUUAUAAGAAAGCUGAUAUUUAUACGUGUUUUUGAUAUUUUUAUAUAGUUUUUACUUGAACAUGAUAAGAAAGUGGAUCCCACCUUCAUGUGAGAGGGGACCAUGUAAAAAUAUCAAAAAUUCAUAUGAAAAUAGUGUUCCCCUUAUAAUAAUUAUAUUUUCUCUGUUUACAAUAUAACGCCAAUGCAUAAAAUGAGAUAAUUUUAAAGUUAAAAAUUGAUAGGAUUGAAUAUAAAUCUUGUAGUUUGCAAUAAUUACUAAAUAACUUGUAAUAUUCAUAAUUUUAUUGACUUGAAAUUAUAGCAAGUCAAGUCAUUUUUUAAUUACUUUAUUUCAUAACACAAUGUCGCUCUGAUUGAUUUAACAAAGGGGAUGAUGAUGAUGUCUUGCCUGUUUUUGUUGGUUUGCAUACAUCUAAGAAAAGCCACCACUUGGUGACUGCAGGUAUUUGAGCAGUGAAGGUUUCCCCUCCCAAUUAUUACUUAUUAGUCUUAAAUAAAAGCAUAUAUCAUGAUCAAUGAAGUGAGCAAAUUUUUAAAAGAAAAAAUCGGAAAAUUUUGUAUUUGAAAAGAGGAAACAUUGUUAAUAAUGAGGUGGGGUGAAAUUUUUUGAUUAGGAACGAAGGGAGUUACCUAUUUUAUCGCACAAAAAUGGAUCAAACACCAUAUAUAUAUAUGAACUGCCCACUACUAUAUAUUAUUAGCUAAUUUGUUGCUUACCAAACAUAAAACUUAAAACACAAUCUAAAUAUAAACCAUUGAGUAAUUCAUCCAUCACAUCAAGUGCAAAAUCCCAUAUAAAUUCAAGAAAAACAAAUCUACAAGCUGAGUUUGUUGAGAAAAUAUAUAAAUUCAACAAAUUUAAGUAUUACCCACAAGAAAAAAACCAAUCUACUCCAUGUCACAUUUGUAGCCACCGACAAAUUCCCUGCGAACCUCUUCUUCACAUGAAUAUGAUAAUUCUUUGAAAGCUAAGUUGGAUUCUUUUGCUAAAAGCUGUCCACUUGGCCCAAAGGCUGCAAUGGCAGGAAGGGCCCGCUGUAGGUAGAAUAGAAGUUUAUCCAACACCAGUGUUCUCUCUAGAUUGCAACGUUGUACAUGUCAAAAGCAAAGUAAUUCAGAGAUCGAUCAGGAUUCAGGCUCAAGAAUAAUACGUGGAACCUCAGUUCGGCUAAGCUAGCAUGGCAGUUUUGAGAACACGACACAACUUUCUACCACUUCCUAACAGGGUAUACCAAGGGAUAUUUCCAAACUCUUCCUUGAAUUUGGCCUUCGCAGAGGACUAAUUCAAAGUGAGACUGUAAUUUAGCAAAAUCUCAAAAUCUAUAUCCGGCCUACAUUCCAACGAUUCCCAGUUCCUCUUAAGUUUUCUGGUCCGUUCAAUGCCAGAGUAUGAUUCUUCAUAAAAAUACAGGCCCACGGUCUUGCCUUGAAGCUUUGAGGUACUUACCUGCAAAGAAAAAAUGUAUACGAGAAUUUAAAAAUUCUCAAAUGACAGAGAACCUCAAAAUAGAUAUUUGGACUAGCCACAACCAACCGUAUUGUAUAAAGAUAAAUUAUUAGUCACCCUAGCUAGCAAGCAAAUAAAUUGACUUACUUCUUUUCCUUCACAAGUAGUUACAAAGUCGCCAAAGAGAUCAGUCAAUGAUAGUUUCUUCCGGUACAGGUUUUUCAUGAGUUCUUGAUCGUCAACGUCAAGGUCUACAUCGUCAAGGCAUGAUGUGCACUCUUUUAUAUGGAGGAUUAAUAUUUUUCUAGAAUUCGGACUUGGAUUUCACUUGCAUCUCUUUUGCUUAUAAUUAGAUUAUGAAAUUCUCGCUUGAAUUUUCCAUCUUCACCAACAAUUAUUUUCCCCCAGUGAUUUCCAUAUUCAUCAACUUAUCAUUAUCAUUGUCUUUGGGGUAGGAAAUUAAUAUAUAAUGAGAUGAUUUUGCUUUGUUUGGAGGAUGCUUCUUGACCCUUGGCCCAACUGGAUGUUAUUAGAUCAUGUAUGUGAGUUUGCUCCUUCUGUUAUUUCGG
This 2813-nucleotide long non-coding RNA is filed under the name Panax ginseng (ginseng). RNAcentral describes it as "long non-coding RNA (PGIN_LNC016142)". Lineage: Eukaryota; Viridiplantae; Streptophyta; Magnoliopsida; Apiales; Araliaceae. The record is from RNAcentral.